Molecule: transfer RNA, 77 nt
Filed under: Pseudomonadales bacterium
Lineage: Bacteria; Pseudomonadati; Pseudomonadota; Gammaproteobacteria; Pseudomonadales
Description: tRNA-Arg
Rfam family: tRNA
About the family: Transfer RNA (tRNA) molecules are approximately 80 nucleotides in length. Their secondary structure includes four short double-helical elements and three loops (D, anti-codon, and T loops).
Source: RNAcentral
GCCCCGAUAGCUCAGAUGGAUAGAGCGGUCCCCUCCUAAGGGACAGGUCGCACGUUCGAAUCGUGUUCGGGGCGCCA